CCAACUAUCCUGAUUAUAUUGGAUAUCCCCACACUAUAUAUAUCAACAACCACACUGUAUAUAUAUAACAACACUAAUAGUACAUAUAACUACACUUAACAUGUAUAUCAUUCAACACACUAUUGAUACUUGUCACCCCUCUGUAUAUAUCCAUCACCACUUUGUUAAUAUGUCUAUCACUACACUGGUUAAACCAAUCACCACACUGUUUAUAUUUGUCACCACACAGUAUAUAUGUAUACCUCAUCUUUGCUUAUAUAUCACCACACUGUAUAUAUAAUCGCUAUUCUGUAUAUUCUUCACCGCACUAUAUUUACAAAUUACAACUCUAUAUAUAUAU
This 340-nucleotide long non-coding RNA is filed under the name Mytilus galloprovincialis (Mediterranean mussel). Lineage: Eukaryota; Metazoa; Mollusca; Bivalvia; Mytilida; Mytilidae. The record is from RNAcentral.